UCAGUAACCCCACCAAGUCUCUCAAGUACAUCUUGACCAUAUUUUGCUCUGAUUCUCCUAAGUCAUUCCACUACAUGCGUAAGCCCAAAGGGAUCCUGUUUGUAAUAGCUCCAGAUGAAUUCCUACUCGUGCUCAUUCUGCACAUUUAUUAAGGCGAUUUAGACAAAAGCAAAACCUUUAUUGGAAUCAAAAAAAUAAAAAUUUCAUUUUUCCUUAAUUUUGAGAAAAGAAAAACUGAUUUCCCAAAUACGGCUUUUUAAUACAUCAGUGAUGAAGAUUUGAAGGUUAUAGGGUUAACCAGCAAAAAAUAAUAGCCAAAGGUGGCCAUUUAUGCAAAAUUAGCCUUCUGGCGUCCCUUUUGGAAACAUUCAACCAUUUUUGACAAACAACGACGCCUAAUCUAUUCAAGACUAUUUUCUAAGAUAUUUAAAGCAAAUGACCCGAUUUUGCAAACACGGACUUUCAACGUCUGGGGGACGAAGGUUUUCAGGCUGUGAUGCUAAAAAAAUCAAAUUUAUCAAAUUAUGCGAUGUCAGCCUUCUGACGUCCUUUUAGGGGACACUCGGCUAUUUUUGCAAUAAAUGGUAUUGCCUGACUCUUUUUAUGAAAACAAUAAAAUUUUGUCAUUUUCUGGUUACUUUUGUAAAAAUAGUAAGUUGGACCCGAUAAGAGUUGCCUACGUAUCUCUCAUCCGAUGAGAAUCAAAACGACGUAGUUCAGGUAAGAAAACUAAUUAAAACAAGACUCCAUUAUUUUAUUUUUUAUUGUUUUUCAAGUAAAAACAACCAAUUUUUCUUCUUUUUUUCAAAAAUAAAAAAUUUGGCAGAGUUUCGACAUUACUGGGACAUGAUUUUUCUAAAAACCGAAUAGUUAUCUUUUUGCUAUUUUCCUUUCUUAUGGAUUCCUGGUUUUACAAGCCGGUCAACAUGCAAGUUCGAAGCAAAAUAAAUGCGCAAAACAAACAAGAUGUAGCAGGAUGGUCCUUUUGUUUCAGGUUGCUAGUCCUAGACGGGCCCAACCCCUGUGUUGAGCCCCCUAAGUCAAAUGCAACGUGAUGUAAAUAAGAGUUUUAUACUAUGGAUCCGGCAUGAAGUUUUUUCAUUCUGUGUUUCAAACCUGAGCUUCGUUCUGGACCUGGCUAACCCGAGCACACAACUUAGGCGAGGAGGGGGCAACUUACCCAGGACACGCGGGAUCGUCCGGCUUCGUAACCUAUCCGAGCCUCUUUCUUAUUGGGUAACACUAAUAGAAUGGGGAAUCUCAAACAAGUGAGCAGCAUCCUCGGAGGUAAGAAGAGAAAUGGUUUGGAACAAUUUAUAUAUACAGUCAAACAAUAUCAAAGCGGUAACAAAACAUCAUUUUGCACAUUAAGCACAUAUCACAUGAAAAUAUCAGAUA
RNAcentral lists this long non-coding RNA (1398 nucleotides) under Nicotiana benthamiana. Its description in RNAcentral is "long non-coding RNA (NBEN_LNC042183)". The record is from RNAcentral. Lineage: Eukaryota; Viridiplantae; Streptophyta; Magnoliopsida; Solanales; Solanaceae.